UAAGUGACAUUAAACUUCAUGUAAUCCAGGGC
RNAcentral lists this non-coding RNA (32 nucleotides) under Mus musculus (house mouse). Lineage: Eukaryota; Metazoa; Chordata; Mammalia; Rodentia; Muridae. The record is from RNAcentral.